UACGUAGGGGGCAAGCGUUGUCCGGAUUUACUGGGCGUAAAGAGCGCGUAGGCGGACGUUUAAGUGUGGCCUGAAAGCCCCCGGCUCAACCGGGGAUCCGGGUUGCAAACUGGACGUCUUGAGGGGGAUAGGGGAAGGUGGAAUUCCUGGUGUAGCGGUGAAAUGCGCAGAUAUCAGGAGGAACACCGAUGGCGAAGGCAGCUCGCUGGGACGGUACUGACGCUGAGACGCGAAAGCGUGGGGAGCAAACAGG
Molecule: ribosomal RNA, 253 nt
Filed under: uncultured bacterium
Lineage: Bacteria
Description: partial 16S ribosomal RNA
Rfam family: Bacterial small subunit ribosomal RNA
Source: RNAcentral